GGUGGCCCAGUUUUAUCAUUUCCGCUGGGCACUCAAGCAGUCAAGGAGGAGUUAGCCUGGCUAGAAGCCCUCUUGGGCCUGGACAGCUUCAUUGAUGUAGUCAGCCACAUUGAAAAAUGCCAUUGUGAGCGCAGGGAGGAAGAGAAUAGGGUGUUACAGAGCCGCCUUGCCCCGGCUCUGCACUAGCUCCCUUGAGCUCAUCCCCUGAAACUGAAGUUGGUGCAAUAACUUGUUCUUCUACUGUGGCAAGUCAGGGCAUGCACUCACUUACUGACUGUCGGGACCCCAGCCCGAAAAGUAUCGGGAAAUGAAUAAGGCCAAGUCUUCAUGGAAAUCCAGGUCCAUCAGGGCCCUCAUUGCAUCUCCAAGUUCCAAUUCAUUUGUGCAUCUCCAGAGAAACAUGACAAGUGGCAUUGCAGUGGGCACUUAUUGAUUCUGGGGCUGCGGACAAUUUCAUAAAUUUCGAGACAGCCCAAGAUCUGCAAAUCCUUGUCCUGCAGAAGUCACAUCAGAUGUUGUGGGAACCAUUGACAAGACCCUCCUGUCCUCUGGACUGGUGACUCAGGUAAUGUGCCCCUGGAAGCAGUAACCCAGGGACACAAAAGUGCUAACAUUCACUGUGAUGUGUUCCCUACAUUUUGGUGGGCUCACCUGGUUAGCAUGACAGGACCCCCAUGUUCUCUGGCAAACCCAGAAGACCAGCUUUUCCUCCAAGCAGGCCUAUCUCCAUAGCAACAGCAGCAAGUUCCUUGUCCAAGAGACCCAGUCCCAGACAGUGGUGAGUCCACCCCUGUGUGUACCAGGGCUCACAGCAACUGGCUGCAGUGAUCCAUUCUUGGGUCUGACACCCCAUAUUCCUGAUAAGUACCAGGAUUAUUUGGACAUUUUCAAAAAAAAAAUGUGGACACAUUGUCUCUGCACUGAGACCAUGACUGCCCUAUUGACCUACAAUUUUGGGCAACAGUUCCCUUUGGCCGUAUUUACGCAAUGUCUGAACCAGAACUGGUGGCUGUCUCUGCAUGUAGUCAAGAAAAACAGUCCAAAGGGUUUAUUCGCCAUUCAGCGUUCCCACAGGGGUCCCGGCCCUCUUUGGAAAGAAGGAAGUGGGACUCUUUCUCCGUGUAGACUACCAGGCUCUGAACAAAAUGGUAGUUUGGAACCACAGAUUUCAUUGUAGAACUCCCUGAAUCAAAUGGUCACACGGUAUAACUGAUUAUCAUAGAUCAACUGACAGAGAUGGCAGGCUUCAUCUGCUGUGACCGCGUAUCUUUGGCUGAAAGCACAGUUCAGCUCCAAAUUUGAAAACCAGAAUGCCAAUCUCAACUCUUUUUGCUAGAUAGAUUAACCCCUGAUUUCAGCCCACACUACCAAUGGCCUCUCCAAACUUGCCAGACAACAACCUGGUUCUAUGAAUCCAUCACAUUCAAGAAGAACUAAGGGGGCACCUCGAGGACACUAGGAAGGACUUCAAAUAGUAUGCAGACUGCCAUGACAGGAGGGGUCUUCUCAGUAGAGAAACUCUUUGCUGAAUGGAGGAAAAGCAUCUCCAAAGGAGGUAUAUAAGGAUCGUGGACUCUAUUGCCUGCAAGAAGCUGCAGUCACCUUCACAGGGUAGGACUCACGGUCUGUCAUGGAGGUUAAGACCGGAUGGGAGUUGAUGGAUUGACCUUGAUAUGUCAUGUCCUUGGGUGGAUGAAGGACCUACAUCACAGAGGUGGACAGCAGCAGAUGUUCCACACAUGGCCAGGAAUGGGCUAAACAACCUACAACAAUAGGCAAAGUCAGCCUUUUCCUGACAAUGAGGAAGUAACAAACAAGAAGAUAUGCAUUAGGCAUGGAGUUCUCUCACAUUUUCCAGAAACCUGAAAGAUGAUCAUGGAGCCAAAGAAAACCUACACUGGGGAAAAAAAUAAUCACUGGUAUUAUCGGAACUCCAGCUGCCAGGAUCAAUUAAGGAGACUUACCUUGAGAAGCAGAGAAAGCUGCAGGAGGGAAAGAUCAGAUUUGUAAAAUGUGAAGGUUUUGAGGAGCAAAUACAAAGUAUGUAUACUGUAGUAGGCUACUUGCCAAUGUAGGGCCAACUUAUGUUUAGUCCUGACCAGAUACACACGGGAUUCCAAGAAGCCUUCCCCCUCUCAAACCCCAGCACAGGAACCAAGCACAGUAUGACUGUGGAAUGCAGGUACCAUGCUGUGUUAGUGCCGCCAAAGGCAUCGGCCACCCUGAAGGAAGUGGAGAGAGCUGAGUUGUGGGGGGUCCAUGCUCCCCAGGUCCUGAAUCUAUUAGCUGGUUGGGGGCAAAGUUAUGGUGAGGGGGCUCAGCUAUUUAAAGCGUGAUUGAGCUACUGCUGCAGCCUAUGCUCUCCUGGAGCCCCAGGAGGUAGCAUUGCCACUUGCCAGGUGUCCACCCGCUCAAACACUCGGUCAAAAAGGGACCCUCUGCAGCCCUCCCCAGCCU
Molecule: long non-coding RNA, 2457 nt
Organism: Dermochelys coriacea (leatherback sea turtle)
Lineage: Eukaryota; Metazoa; Chordata; Testudines; Dermochelyidae
Exons: 5
Source: RefSeq, a predicted model, not a curated record